UGCAGUCGAACGGGGUCGGAACUUCGGUUCCGGCUUACGUGGCGCACGGGUGAGUAACACGUGGGAAUCUGCCCAUCUAUGGGGAAUAACUGCGGGAAACUGCAGCUAAUACCGCAUACGCCCUUCGGGGGAAAGGCUUCGGCCGUAGAUGGAUGAGCCCGCGUCCGAUUAGCUAGUUGGUGGGGUAAUGGCCUACCAAGGCGACGAUCGGUAGCUGGUCUGAGAGGAUGAUCAGCCACACUGGGACUGAGACACGGCCCAGACUCCUACGGGAGGCAGCAGUGGGGAAUAUUGGACAAUGGGCGAAAGCCUGAUCCAGCAAUGCCGCGUGAGUGAUGAAGGUCUUCGGAUUGUAAAGCUCUUUCGACGGGGAAGAUAAUGACGGUACCCGUAGAAGAAGCCCCGGCUAACUUCGUGCCAGCAGCCGCGGUAAUACGAAGGGGGCUAGCGUUGUUCGGAUUUACUGGGCGUAAAGCGUGCGUAGGCGGCUUAUCAAGUCAGAAGUGAAAGCCCGGGGCUCAACUCCGGAAUGGCUUUUGAGACUGGUAGGCUGGAGUUCGGGAGAGGGUAGUGGAAUUCCCAGUGUAGAGGUGAAAUUCGUAGAUAUUGGGAAGAACACCGGUGG
RNAcentral lists this ribosomal RNA (625 nucleotides) under uncultured bacterium. RNAcentral describes it as "bacterial SSU rRNA". It matches the Rfam family "Bacterial small subunit ribosomal RNA", at positions 56 to 715 of the family's 1533-position model. The record is from RNAcentral.